CAUACGAACACCCUACACAGUGAGCAACUACAAGUCUCCAUUAUCCAUACAAACUGCAAACAGCGUUUGUAGGACGGAGUUAAAUUUAUCGUGUCUGAUACCGUACAUCAAGAAGGGUCGUGAAAUGCGAACAGAACGUUCUGUCAUGUAUAAAACACCCCAUAGAAAUGAUUCCCUUGAUCGAUCAACAAAAACCGCCCAACUAAAGACCAGAAAUUUGUCCAAUGUUAGACAACACCUUUUUAGCAGAGACAGUAUCAGUUCUCAAGAUGAUAUUUGCUUGGCCGAAGAAAGUAUUAACUUGACAGAUAUUUUGGAAAAGUUUGUAACUUCUUGCGCGACUUUAAA
This is a non-coding RNA of Megalopta genalis, 348 nucleotides long. Lineage: Eukaryota; Metazoa; Arthropoda; Insecta; Hymenoptera; Halictidae. The record is from RefSeq and is a predicted model, not a curated record.